This 77-nucleotide transfer RNA is filed under the name Rickettsiales bacterium. Its description in RNAcentral is "tRNA-Arg". It matches the Rfam family "tRNA". Rfam says of the family: Transfer RNA (tRNA) molecules are approximately 80 nucleotides in length. The record is from RNAcentral. Lineage: Bacteria; Pseudomonadati; Pseudomonadota; Alphaproteobacteria; Rickettsiales.
GGUCCCGUAGCUCAGUUGGAUAGAGCGACAGCCUUCUAAGCUGUAGGUCGUACGUUCGAAUCGUAUCGGGAUCACCA